This 741-nucleotide small RNA is filed under the name Pongo abelii (Sumatran orangutan). Its description in RNAcentral is "processed transcript". The record is from RNAcentral. Lineage: Eukaryota; Metazoa; Chordata; Mammalia; Primates; Hominidae.
UCCUUGCCGACUUAACUCGUUGCUCGGUUAUAGGUCCAGUUUUAUUAUUGUAGGUGUUAAAUGCCGCCCCAGGAGAAUGUGCGUUGCCGCAGUUUGAGAAGCUUGAAGUUAAGAUGCUGGCCUUGGAGUCGGAUCGUUCUGUCCAAUUCUGAUUCUGCCCACUUACUGACUUUGAUUUUAACCAACUUCUCUUGUCCUCGCAGCAGCCGCUCUUCUAAAACAUUCAAACCAAAGAAGAAUAUCCCUGAAGGAUCUCAUCAGUACGAACUCUUAAAACAUGCAGAAGCAACUCUAGGAAGUGGGAAUCUGAGACAAGCUGUUAUGUUGCCUGAGGGAGAGGAUCUCAAUGAAUGGAUUGCUGUAAACACUGUGGAUUUCUUUAACCAGAUCAACAUGUUAUAUGGAACUAUUACAGAAUUCUGCACUGAAGCAAGCUGUCCAGUCAUGUCUGCAGGUCCGAGAUAUGAAUAUCAUUGGGCAGAUGGUACUAAUAUUAAAAAGCCAAUCAAAUGUUCUGCACCAAAAUACAUUGACUAUUUGAUGACUUGGGUUCAGGAUCAGCUUGAUGAUGAAACUCUUUUUCCUUCUAAGAUUGGUGUCCCAUUUCCCAAAAACUUUAUGUCUGUGGCAAAGACUAUUCUAAAGCGUCUGUUCAGGGUUUAUGCCCAUAUUUAUCACCAGCACUUUGAUUCUGUGAUGCAGCUGCAAGAGGAGGCCCACCUCAACACCUCCUUUAAGCAC